CACCUCUUCUAUUUACUGCCCACAGAUUCUUUAGUCCUGUCUACUUCAACAAGUCAAUCAAAAUGAAUUAUAAAGGGGAAGAAGGUAUUCCUCACCUUACUUCAGUGUUGCAAUUUUGGAGAAUUGAGUUUUUGUUUCCCUGCUUAGUCCUCUCACUUUCUCCUUUUAUCCUCUUCCUAAUUAGCUCCCUCUCCCCAGUUAUAUACUAUUAACAUAUAUACAGUAUAAGCAUUUUAGGAGAAAGGAACAAUGCCAUUUAGUUUUGUUGCAUAAAUAGUAAAUACUUUUUGUAAAAGAAUCAAACAAUACAAAAAUAGGCAAAGUAGAACACAAUUUAAAAAAUUUUUUUCUCCCCUAAACUGUAACUGUCAUCCUAAGAGGUAACCAUCA
This 390-nucleotide long non-coding RNA is filed under the name Homo sapiens (human). RNAcentral describes it as "HSALNT0249755". The record is from RNAcentral. Lineage: Eukaryota; Metazoa; Chordata; Mammalia; Primates; Hominidae.